GUGCUCACUUGGGCAGCAAAUAUACUAAAAUUGGAAUGAUGCAGAAAUUAGCAUGGCCCCGGUGCAAGGAUGACAGGCAGAUCUGUGAAAUGUUCCAUUUUUAA
This 104-nucleotide small nuclear RNA is filed under the name Mustela putorius furo (domestic ferret). Lineage: Eukaryota; Metazoa; Chordata; Mammalia; Carnivora; Mustelidae. The record is from RNAcentral.